RNAcentral lists this ribosomal RNA (253 nucleotides) under uncultured bacterium. RNAcentral describes it as "partial 16S ribosomal RNA". It matches the Rfam family "Bacterial small subunit ribosomal RNA", at positions 524 to 776 of the family's 1533-position model. The record is from RNAcentral.
UACGUAGGGGGCUAGCGUUGUCCGGAAUCAUUGGGCGUAAAGCGCGUGUAGGCGGCCCGGUAAGUCCGCUGUGAAAGUCGGGGGCUCAACCCUCGAAAGCCGGUGGAUACUGUCGGGCUCGAGUGCGGAAGAGGCGAGUGGAAUUCCUGGUGUAGCGGUGAAAUGCGCAGAUAUCAGGAGGAGCACCGGUGGCGAAGGCGGGUCUCUGGGCCGAUACUGACGCUGAGGAGCGAAAGCGUGGGGAGCGAACAGG